CUCUUAUCGCGAGUGGUGGAGGGACUGGCCCGAUGAAGCCCGGCAACAGCCGCCUGAAGGCGGAAAUGUGCCAAAUCCUGCAGGCAAAAGCCUGAGAGAUGAGAG
RNAcentral lists this non-coding RNA (105 nucleotides) under Carboxydocella thermautotrophica DSM 16521. Its description in RNAcentral is "Carboxydocella sporoproducens DSM 16521 SAM riboswitch aptamer (S box leader)". It matches the Rfam family "SAM riboswitch aptamer (S box leader)". Rfam says of the family: The SAM riboswitch is found upstream of a number of genes which code for proteins involved in methionine or cysteine biosynthesis in Gram-positive bacteria. Lineage: Bacteria; Bacillati; Bacillota; Clostridia; Eubacteriales; Clostridiales Family XVI. Incertae Sedis. The record is from Rfam by way of RNAcentral.